GGACGAACGUUGGCGGCGUGCUUAAUACAUGCAAGUCAACUGAAGCAGUGGUAGCACUAUCGCUGUGGAGGUGGCGCACGGGUGAGUAACACGUAGGUAAUCUGCCUUCAGGUCUGGCAUAACUCCGGGAAACCGGGGCUAAUAGCAGAUGAUGCAGCGGCUCGACAUCGAGACAGUUGUUAAAGCUAUGGCGCCUGAAGAUGAGCCUGCGUCUGAUUAGCUAGUUGGCGGGGUAACGGCCCACCAAGGCAACGAUCAGUAGCUGGUCUGAGAGGAUGAUCAGCCACACUGGAACUGAGACACGGUCCAGACUCCUACGGGAGGCAGCAGUAAGGAAUAUUGCUCAAUGGGAGAAAUCCUGAAGCAGCAACGCCGCGUGAGGGACGAAGGGCUUUUGCUUGUAAACCUCUGUAGUGAGAGAAAAAAAUCCCAAUCGUUGGGACAUGAUGGUAUCUCAAAAGUAAGCCCCGGCUAACUACGUG
This 482-nucleotide ribosomal RNA is filed under the name uncultured bacterium. RNAcentral describes it as "partial 16S ribosomal RNA". It matches the Rfam family "Bacterial small subunit ribosomal RNA", at positions 27 to 507 of the family's 1533-position model. The record is from RNAcentral.